GAUGAACGCUGGCGGCGUGCUUAACACAUGCAAGUCGAACGAAGCACUUUAUUUGAUUUCCUUCGGGACUGAUUAUUUUGUGACUGAGUGGCGGACGGGUGAGUAACGCGUGGGUAACCUGCCUUGUACAGGGGGAUAACAGUUGGAAACGGCUGCUAAUACCGCAUAAGCGCACAGCAUCGCAUGAUGCAGUGUGAAAAACUCCGGUGGUAUAAGAUGGACCCGCGUUGGAUUAGCUAGUUGGUGAGGUAACGGCCCACCAAGGCGACGAUCCAUAGCCGACCUGAGAGGGUGACCGGCCACAUUGGGACUGAGACACGGCCCAAACUCCUACGGGAGGCAGCAGUGGGGAAUAUUGCACAAUGGGCGAAAGCCUGAUGCAGCGACGCCGCGUGAGCGAAGAAGUAUUUCGGUAUGUAAAGCUCUAUAAGCAGGGAAGAUAAUGACGGUACCUGACGAAGAAGCACCGGCUAAAUACGUG
Molecule: ribosomal RNA, 481 nt
Filed under: uncultured bacterium
Lineage: Bacteria
Description: partial 16S ribosomal RNA
Rfam family: Bacterial small subunit ribosomal RNA
Source: RNAcentral